RNAcentral lists this unclassified non-coding RNA (231 nucleotides) under uncultured fungus. Its description in RNAcentral is "sequence contains ITS1". The record is from RNAcentral. Lineage: Eukaryota; Fungi.
GUAUUGAUCGCGUAUCACCGCAAAAAGAAAAUACAUUCUACACUGCUUUAAGGUUUGUGUGAAAAAACGUGGGCCCCCCCUUUCAGGGGAACUCACGCGGUUGUGCACAAGAGGGGUGAGAUGGAUUAUGUGUGAGAGCACCAAGGUGUGCACGACCUUUUCAAAAGUCAGCGACAACCCCAGCACCUCCAUUGUAUGAUAAUGAUCCUUCCGCAGGUUCACCUACGGAAA